This 497-nucleotide ribosomal RNA is filed under the name uncultured bacterium. RNAcentral describes it as "partial 16S ribosomal RNA". It matches the Rfam family "Bacterial small subunit ribosomal RNA", at positions 28 to 507 of the family's 1533-position model. The record is from RNAcentral.
GAUGAACGCUGGCGGCGUGCCUAAUACAUGCAAGUCGAGCGAACAGACGAGGAGCUUGCUCCUCUGACGUUAGCGGCGGACGGGUGAGUAACACGUGGAUAACCUACCUAUAAGACUGGGAUAACUUCGGGAAACCGGAGCUAAUACCGGAUAAUAUAUUGAACCGCAUGGUUCAAUAGUGAAAGACGGUUUUGCUGUCACUUAUAGAUGGAUCCGCGCCGCAUUAGCUAGUUGGUAAGGUAACGGCUUACCAAGGCAACGAUGCGUAGCCGACCUGAGAGGGUGAUCGGCCACACUGGAACUGAGACACGGUCCAGACUCCUACGGGAGGCAGCAGUAGGGAAUCUUCCGCAAUGGGCGAAAGCCUGACGUAGCAACGCCGCGUGAGUGAUGAAGGUCUUCGGAUCGUAAAACUCUGUUAUUAGGGAAGUACAAAUGUGUAAGUAACUAUGCACGUCUUGACGGUACCUAAUCAGAAAGCCACGGCUAACUACGUG